This 512-nucleotide ribosomal RNA is filed under the name uncultured bacterium. Its description in RNAcentral is "partial 16S ribosomal RNA". It matches the Rfam family "Bacterial small subunit ribosomal RNA", at positions 28 to 523 of the family's 1533-position model. The record is from RNAcentral.
GAUGAACGCUGGCGGCGUGCCUAAUACAUGCAAGUCGAGCGAAUGAAGAGGAGCUUGCUCCUCUGAUUUAGCGGCGGACGGGUGAGUAACACGUGGGUAAUCUGCCUGUAAGACGGGGAUAACUCCGGGAAACCGGGGCUAAUACCGGAUAACAAAAGAAGAAGCAUUUCUUCUUUUUGAAAGUCGGUUUCGGCUGACGCUUACAGAUGAGCCCGCGGCGCAUUAGCUAGUUGGUGAGGUAACGGCUCACCAAGGCGACGAUGCGUAGCCGACCUGAGAGGGUGAUCGGCCACACUGGGACUGAGACACGGCCCAGACUCCUACGGGAGGCAGCAGUAGGGAAUCUCCGGCAAUGGGCGAAAGCCUGACCGAGCAACGCCGCGUGAGCGAUGAAGGCCUUCGGGUCGUAAAGCUCUGUUGUUAGGGAAGAACACGUACGAGAGUAACUGCUCGUACCUUGACGGUACCUAACCAGAAAGCCACGGCUAACUACGUGCCAGCAGCCGCCGUAA